UACAGAGAGUGCAAGCGUUAAUCGGAAUUACUGGGCGUAAAGCGCACGUAGGUGGAUAUUUAAGUCGAAUGUGAAAGCCCCGGGCUUAACCUGGGAAUUGCAUCCGAUACUGGAUGUCUAGAGUAUGGUAGAGGGAAGUGGAAUUUCCGGUGUAGCGGUGAAAUGCGUAGAUAUCGGAAAGAACAUCAGUGGCGAAGGCGGCUUCCUGGACUAAUACUGACACUGAGGUGCGAAAGCGUGGGGAGCAAACAGG
This 253-nucleotide ribosomal RNA is filed under the name uncultured bacterium. Its description in RNAcentral is "partial 16S ribosomal RNA". It matches the Rfam family "Bacterial small subunit ribosomal RNA", at positions 524 to 776 of the family's 1533-position model. The record is from RNAcentral.